AAAAAAACACAGAGAAAUAGCAAUUGCGACCAAGAAAUAGUAGCAGAAUUAGUUCAAAAAUGGAGAGGUGAAACCACAGACAGGUUCUUCUUGAGAAUUAAGGACAGAAGUGGUGAUCCUGAAGACUGUGAUGUUGAUAUUGGUGGUCUUGAAAACCUUGAUGAUGAUGAAGAAGUUGAUGACGACGUGUUGCUGAGACGUGAUGUUGUGAAGCAGCUGUAUGGCAAGGAGAAGAGGUUCCUGUAUGUCCACCAGACAGAGUGGCAAUCCAGACUUCUCCUUAGAUAUGGCCAGGAAAUAUCCCGUCUUGAUGCCACAUAUCGGACCACACGCUAUUCUCUUCCUCUGUAUUUUCUCUGUGUACCAACAAAUAUUGGUUGCAUUACUGAGACAGA
This is a long non-coding RNA of Mizuhopecten yessoensis (Yesso scallop), 395 nucleotides long. RefSeq lists it as uncharacterized. The transcript is spliced from 3 exons. Lineage: Eukaryota; Metazoa; Mollusca; Bivalvia; Pectinida; Pectinidae. The record is from RefSeq and is a predicted model, not a curated record.